RNAcentral lists this ribosomal RNA (654 nucleotides) under uncultured Rhizobium sp. RNAcentral's name for it is "bacterial SSU rRNA". It matches the Rfam family "Bacterial small subunit ribosomal RNA", at positions 53 to 755 of the family's 1533-position model. Lineage: Bacteria; Pseudomonadati; Pseudomonadota; Alphaproteobacteria; Hyphomicrobiales; Rhizobiaceae. The record is from RNAcentral.
ACAUGCAAGUCGAACGCCCCGCAAGGGGAGUGGCAGACGGGUGAGUAACGCGUGGGAACAUACCCUUUCCUGCGGAAUAGCUCCGGGAAACUGGAAUUAAUACCGCAUACGCCCUACGGGGGAAAGAUUUAUCGGGGAAGGAUUGGCCCGCGUUGGAUUAGCUAGUUGGUGGGGUAAAGGCCUACCAAGGCGACGAUCCAUAGCUGGUCUGAGAGGAUGAUCAGCCACAUUGGGACUGAGACACGGCCCAAACUCCUACGGGAGGCAGCAGUGGGGAAUAUUGGACAAUGGGCGCAAGCCUGAUCCAGCCAUGCCGCGUGAGUGAUGAAGGCCUUAGGGUUGUAAAGCUCUUUCACCGGAGAAGAUAAUGACGGUAUCCGGAGAAGAAGCCCCGGCUAACUUCGUGCCAGCAGCCGCGGUAAUACGAAGGGGGCUAGCGUUGUUCGGAAUUACUGGGCGUAAAGCGCACGUAGGCGGAUAUUUAAGUCAGGGGUGAAAUCCCAGAGCUCAACUCUGGAACUGCCUUUGAUACUGGGUAUCUUGAGUAUGGAAGAGGUAAGUGGAAUUCCGAGUGUAGAGGUGAAAUUCGUAGAUAUUCGGAGGAACACCAGUGGCGAAGGCGGCUUACUGGUCCAUUACUGACGCUGAGGUGCG